CAGAGGGUGGAAAGAUUUAUCGGUGCAGGAUGGGCCCGCGUCGGAUUAACUAGUUGGCAGGGUAACGGCCUACCAAGGUUAUGAUCCGUAGCCGACCUGAGAGGGUGACCGGCCACAUUGGGACUGAGACACGGCCCAAACUCCUACGGGAGGCAGCAGUGGGGGAUAUUGCACAAUGGGCGGAAGCCUGAUGCAGCGACGCCGCGUGAAGGAAAAGGUAUUUCGGUAUGUAAACUUCAUCAGCGGGGAAGAAGA
Molecule: ribosomal RNA, 255 nt
Filed under: uncultured bacterium
Lineage: Bacteria
Description: partial 16S ribosomal RNA
Rfam family: Bacterial small subunit ribosomal RNA
Source: RNAcentral